GACGAACGCUGGCGGCGUGCUUAACACAUGCAAGUCGAGCGGUAAGGCCCUUUCGGGGGUACACGAGCGGCGAACGGGUGAGUAACACGUGGGCGACCUGCCCUCAGCUCUGGGAUAAGCCUGGGAAACCGGGUCUAAUACCGGAUAUGACUCCAUGACGCAUGUUGUGGGGUGGAAAGCCUUGUGCGGCUGAGGAUGGGCCCGCGGCCUAUCAGCUUGUUGGUGGGGUGAUGGCCUACCAAGGCGACGACGGGUAGCCGGCCUGAGAGGGCGACCGGCCACACUGGGACUGAGACACGGCCCAGACUCCUACGGGAGGCAGCAGUGGGGAAUCUUGCGCAAUGGGCGAAAGCCUGACGCAGCGACGCCGCGUGA
Molecule: ribosomal RNA, 375 nt
Filed under: uncultured bacterium
Lineage: Bacteria
Description: bacterial SSU rRNA
Rfam family: Bacterial small subunit ribosomal RNA
Source: RNAcentral